AUGAACGCUGGCGGCGUGCCCAAUACAUGCAAGUCGCGCGAACAGACGAGGAGCUUGCUUCUCUGACGUUAGCGGCGGACGGGUGAGUAACACGUGGAUAACCUACCUAUAAGACUGGGAUAACUUCGGGAAACCGGAGCUAAUACCGGAUAAUAUAUUGAACCGCAUGGUUCAAUAGUGAAAGACGGUUUUGCUGUCACUUAUAGAUGGAUCCGCGCCGCAUUAGCUAGUUGGUAAGGUAACGGCUUACCAAGGCAACGAUGCGUAGCCGACCUGAGAGGGUGAUCGGCCACACUGGAACUGAGACACGGUCCAGACUCCUACGGGAGGCAGCAGUAGGGAAUCUUCCGCAAUGGGCGAAAGCCUGACGGAGCAACGCCGCGUGAGUGAUGAAGGUCUUCGGAUCGUAAAACUCUGUUAUUAGGGAAGAACAAAUGUGUAAGUAACUAUGCACGUCUUGACGGUACCUAAUCAGAAAGCCACGGCUAACUACGUG
RNAcentral lists this ribosomal RNA (496 nucleotides) under uncultured bacterium. Its description in RNAcentral is "partial 16S ribosomal RNA". It matches the Rfam family "Bacterial small subunit ribosomal RNA", at positions 29 to 507 of the family's 1533-position model. The record is from RNAcentral.